AGGAGGCUGAGGCAGGAGGAUUGCUGUGAGUUUAAGGCCUGCCUGGCCUACCAAGUGAAUUUAAGGUCAGUCUGAAAUCUCAAAAAGAUAACCAAAGAAACAAAUCACACACUAAAUCUGCUGCAAGAUAAAAUAGGAAGAACUCUUGAAGACAUAGGUGUAGGCAAAGAUUUCAUGAACAAAAACCUGAAUGCACGGGAAACACUACAAAGAACUGGGAUCUCAUCCUAUUAAAAAUCUUUUGCACUGCAAAAAAAAUUACCAAGAGUGAAAAGAGAGCCCACAGAGCAGGAAAAAAUUUAGCUAGAUGUCAUUUGAACAGCAUUUCUUCAGGCCUGAUUCUUGGCCUCUCUUUUUCUCUCCCCACUGUCUCCUCCUUCGUUGCUAACUUAGAACUACAUCAUCAAUUUGUACUAUUCUACCAUGACUCCAUUUUUUCUACAGCUCAUUCCACUCUUGGAGACUUCUGAACCAUAGAUUUCACACCCUACUUGCUUUUGGCUCUGGUUAACACUUCCCACUCAUGUCUAAAUCCAAACUCAUGACUUAGCAUACCUGCUCCCUGAUUUUUUGCUUCUCUUCAUGUUCUUUCUUAGUAAAGUGGCUCCACCCUCAUUCUGUUCCAAAAGCCAAGACCUGAAGGUUUUCCCACCCCCACUGCCACUGCUUCACUUUCCCGCUUGUCUUCCAUAUAAAGUCUAUCAAUUUUACCUCUACUCUCAAACCCUGCUACUUCUCUAAAUCCACUACCACCAUUUUAGUUCAAGCUCAGCUGAACUUUCGCAACAGCCUUUCACUAGCUUCACUGCAUGUGUGGAGGCCUCUUCCACCCUGUCCUCUGUCAUGCAGAGAUGGCUUCCUCAGAAUGAAAACCUGAAGUUUCAUCCUCGUGCAAGUCCUUCAGUAGCUGCCCAUUAUUUGAAUAAGGAUGAAACUUACAUGCCUAGGAGACUCCACACAGUCUGCAGGAGAUGCCAUCAUCCCCCUUCUCUUGAGUAAUGAAGACAGACAAGGGCUUUCGUGCUACAGUGCAGUGGUGGUGAACCUAUGGCGUGCGUUUGUUCUUAAGACAAAAGUUGUUAAUGUAUUAAUUUUUUAUAAAUUAAAACCUCAGUAUUGAGGUUUAAUUGCAGUGUUGGCUCUCUGCAAUAAAUAAGUGGGUCUUGAGUUGCAGUACGGGUACCCAUCGCUUGCUAUCACUGCUACAGUAUAUCCCGUGUCCCCUCAUUCCCGGCCCUUUUCCCUUUCAAGACAGCAUCUCACUGAGUUGUCCAGGUUGGCUUCGAACCUGUGAUGUGCUGGCGUCAGCCUGUAAGAGUGCUGCUAUCACAGGUGUGCACCACCAUGCCUGGCUUGGCAAACAGAUUUUAAUCUCCAGACAGUCUGGAGAUGAUGGACGGAUAGUAAGAAUAAUAAAGCUUAUCACAUGUG
Chinchilla lanigera (long-tailed chinchilla) is the source of this 1431-nucleotide long non-coding RNA. RefSeq lists it as uncharacterized. The transcript is spliced from 2 exons. Lineage: Eukaryota; Metazoa; Chordata; Mammalia; Rodentia; Chinchillidae. The record is from RefSeq and is a predicted model, not a curated record.